RNAcentral lists this ribosomal RNA (460 nucleotides) under uncultured bacterium. RNAcentral's name for it is "partial 16S ribosomal RNA". It matches the Rfam family "Bacterial small subunit ribosomal RNA", at positions 338 to 795 of the family's 1533-position model. The record is from RNAcentral.
CCUACGGGAGGCAGCAGUGAGGAAUAUUGGUCAAUGGCCGUAAGCCUGAACCAGCCAAGUCGCGUGAGGGAUGAAGGUUCUAUGGAUCGUAAACCUCUUUUAUAAGGGAAUAAAGUGUGGGACGUGUCCUGUUUUGAAUGUACCUGAUGAAUAAGGAUCGGCUAACUCCGUGCCAGCAGCCGCGGUAAUACGGAGGAUCCGAGCGUUAUCCGGAUUUAUUGGGUUUAAAGGGUGCGUAGGCGGCCUUUUAAGUCAGCGGUGAAAGUCUGUGGCUCAACCAUCGAAUAGCCGUUGAAACUGGGGGGCUUGAGUGUGUUGGAGGCAGGCGGAAUGCGUGGUGUAGCGGUGAAAUGCUUAGAUAUCACGCAGAACCCCGAUUGCGAAGGCAGCGUGCCAAGCCGUGACUGACGCUGAUGCACGAAAGCGUGGGGAUCAAACAGGAUUAGAUACCCGAGUAGUC